UUAAGGGUGCAGGGCGGAUGCCUUGGCACUAGGAGCCGAUGAAGGACGUGUGAUAAGCUGCGAUAAGCUUCGGGGAGUUGCACGUAAACUUUGAUCCGAAGAUUUCCGAAUGAGGAAACUCACUUAGAGUAAUGUCUAAGUAUCAUUAAGUGAAUACAUAGCUUAAUGAGGGGAACUCAGGGAACUGAAACAUCUAAGUACCUGAAGGAAGAGAAAGAAAUUCGAUUCCGUAAGUAGCGGCGAGCGAACGCGGAUUAGCCCAAACCAAUAAAGUUUUCUUUAUUGGGGUUGCGGACAUAUCAUAACGAAGAGGUAUCGUAAUUGAAGAGGUUUGGAAAGACCCACCACAGAAGGUAAUAGUCCUGUAUGUUAAACGAGAAGACUUUAGAUAUGAUCCAGAGUACCACGGGACACGUGAAACCCUGUGGGAAGCAGGAGGGACCACCCUCCAAGGCUAAAUACUACCUAGUGACCGAUAGCGUAUAGUACCGUGAGGGAAAGGUGAAAAGAACCCCGGGAGGGGAGUGAAAUAGAACCUGAAACCCUGCACUUACAAGCUGUGGAAGCACAUUUCUUGUGUGACCGCGUACUUUUUGUAGAACGGGCCAACGAGUUACGUUAAGUAGCAAGGUUAAGCACUUAAGGUGCGGAGCCGUAGCGAAAGCGAGUUUUAACUGAGCGUUCAGUUACUUGACGUAGACCCGAAACCGGGCGACCUACCCAUGAGCAGGAUGAAGCGAAAGUAAAAUUUCGUGGAGGUCCGAACCCACGAGCGUUGAAAAGCUCGGGGAUGACUUGUGGGUAGCGGUGAAAUUCCAAUCGAGCCCGGAGAUAGCUGGUUCUCCCCGAAAUAGCUUUAGGGCUAGCCUCAAGGUGAGAGAUACGGAGGUAGAGCACUGAAUGUCCUAGGGGGUAUUGCACCUACCGAAGACUAUCAAACUCCGAAUGCCGUCAUCUUAUACUUGGGAGUCAGACUGUGGGUGAUAAGAUUCAUAGUCGAAAGGGCAACAGCCCAGAUCGUCAGCUAAGGUCCCUAAAUGUAAGUUAAGUGGUAAAGGAUGUGGGAUUGCACAGACAACCAGGAUGUUGGCUUAGAAGCAGCCACUCAUUCAAAGAGUGCGUAAUAGCUCACUGGUCGAGUGAUCCUGCGCCGAAGAUUUCCGGGGCUAAAACUUACUACCGAAGCUACGGCAUCAGUAAUGAUGGGUAGGGGAGCUUCCCAUACGGGUUGAAGCAUGACCGUAAGGACAUGUGGACAGUAUGGGAGUGAGAAUGUUGGCAUGAGUAGCGAGAUGUGGGUGAGAAUCCCACAGGCCGUAAACCCAAGGUUUCCAGGGGAAGGUUCGUCCGCCCUGGGUUAGUCGGGACCUAAGCUGAGGCCGAAAGGCGUAGGUGAUGGACAACAGGUUGAUAUUCCUGUACUACCGAUAACCGUUUGAGAGAAGGGAUGACACAGUAGGAUAAGCUAAGCACACUGUUGGUUAUGUGUGCCCAAGCAUUGAGGCAGUCAAAGUAGGCAAAUCCGCUUUGAUAAUGCUGGGAUGUGAUGGGGAGCGAAAUUUAGUAGCGAAGUAGCUGAUUUCACACUGUCAAGAAAAGUCUCUAUCGAGGUUAAAGGUACCCGUACCGCAAACCGACACAGGUGGGUGAGGAGAGUAUCCUAAGGCCAGCGAGAGAACUGUUGUUAAGGAACUCGGCAAAAUGACCCCGUAACUUAGGGAUAAGGGGUGCCACCAUCAGGUGGCCGCAGAGAAUAGGCCCAAGCGACUGUUUACCAAAAACAUAGGUUUCUGCUAAGUCGCAAGACGAUGUAUAGGAGCUGACGCCUGCCCGGUGCUGGAAGGUUAAGGGGAUCUGUUAGAGCAAUCGAAGCAGUGAACUUAAGCCCCAGUAAACGGCGGCCGUAACUAUAACGGUCCUAAGGUAGCGAAAUUCCUUGUCGGGUAAGUUCCGACCCGCACGAAAGGCGUAACGAUUUGGGCACUGUCUCAACAACAGACUCGGUGAAAUUGUAAUUCCGGUGAAGAUGCCGGAUACCUGCGACAGGACGGAAAGACCCCAUGGAGCUUUACUGUAGCUUGACAUUGGGUCUUGGUACUACAUGUACAGGAUAGGUGGGAGGCUUUGAAACCAGGACGCCAGUUUUGGCGGAGCCAUCCUUGGGAUACCACCCUUGUAGUACUGGGACUCUAACCAUAGGCCAUGAAUCUGGUCUUGGGACACUGUCAGGUGGGCAGUUUGACUGGGGCGGUCGCCUCCCAAAAGGUAACGGAGGCGCUCAAAGGUUCUCUCAGUACGGUCGGAAAUCGUACGUAGAGUGUAAAGGCAAAAGAGAGCUUGAUUGCAAGACAUACAGGUCGAGCAAGGAUGAAAAUCGGACUUAGUGAUCCGGUGGUUCUGCGUGGAAGGGCCAUCGCUCAACGGAUAAAAGCUACCCUGGGGAUAACAGGCUUAUCUCCCCCAAGAGUCCACAUCGACGGGGAGGUUUGGCACCUCGAUGUCGGCUCAUCACAUCCUGGGGCUGUAGUAGGUCCCAAGGGUUGGGCUGUUCGCCCAUUAAAGUGGUACGCGAGCUGGGUUCAGAACGUCGUGAGACAGUUCGGUCCCUAUCCGUCGCAGGCGUAGGAAAUUUGAGAAGACCUGUCCUUAGUACGAGAGGACCGGGAUGGACGUACCUCUGGUGUACCAGUUGUCCUGCCAAGGGCAUGGCUGGGUAGCUAUGUACGGAAUGGAUAAGCGCUGAAAGCAUCUAAGCGCGAAGCCAACUUCAAGAUAAGAUUUCCCACCGCAAGGGUAAGACCCCAGAAAGACUAUCUGGUUGAUAGGUCGAAGGUGUAAGUGCAGCAAUGUAUUUAGCUUAUCGAUACUAAUAGGUCGAGGACUUGACC
This 2888-nucleotide ribosomal RNA is filed under the name Clostridioides difficile. RNAcentral describes it as "bacterial LSU rRNA". It matches the Rfam family "Bacterial large subunit ribosomal RNA". The record is from RNAcentral. Lineage: Bacteria; Bacillati; Bacillota; Clostridia; Peptostreptococcales; Peptostreptococcaceae.